Molecule: ribosomal RNA, 497 nt
Filed under: uncultured bacterium
Lineage: Bacteria
Description: partial 16S ribosomal RNA
Rfam family: Bacterial small subunit ribosomal RNA
Source: RNAcentral
GACGAACGCUGGCGGCGUGCUUAAUACAUGCAAGUCGAGCGAACAGAUGAGGAGCUUGCUGCUCUGACGUUAGCGGCGGACGGGUGAGUAACACGAGGAUAACCUACCUAUCAGACUGGGAUAACUUCGGGAAACCGGAGCUAAUACCGGAUAAUAUAUUGAACCGCAUGGUUCAAUAGUGAAAGACGGUUUUGCUGUCACGUAUAGAUGGAUCCGCGCCGCAUUAGCUAGUUGGUAAGGUAACGGCUUACCAAGGAAACGAUGCGUAGCCGACCUGAGAGGGUGAUCGGCCGCACUGGAACGGAGACACGGUCCAGACUCCUACGGGAGGCAGCAGUAGGGAAUCUUCCGCAAUGGGCGGGAGCCUGCCGGAGCAACGCCACGUGAGUGAUGGAGGUCUUCGGAUCGUAAAACUCUGUUAUUAGGGAAGAACAAAUGUGUACGUAACUGUGCACGUCUUGACGGUACCUAGUCAGAAAGCCACGGCUAACUACGUG